UACGUAGGGUGCGAGCGUUAAUCGGAAUUACUGGGCGUAAAGGGUGCGCAGGCGGUUGAUUAAGUCAGAUGUGAAAUCCCCGGGCUUAACCUGGGAGCUGCAUUUGAGACUGGUCGGCUGGAGUGUGUCAGAGGGGGGUAGAAUUCCACGUGUAGCAGUGAAAUGCGUAGAGAUGUGGAGGAAUACCGAUGGCGAAGGCAGCCCCCUGGGAUAACACUGACGCUCAGGCACGAAAGCGUGGGGAGCAGACAGG
RNAcentral lists this ribosomal RNA (253 nucleotides) under uncultured bacterium. Its description in RNAcentral is "partial 16S ribosomal RNA". It matches the Rfam family "Bacterial small subunit ribosomal RNA", at positions 524 to 776 of the family's 1533-position model. The record is from RNAcentral.